This 1200-nucleotide ribosomal RNA is filed under the name Nematoda environmental sample. Its description in RNAcentral is "SSU rRNA". It matches the Rfam family "Eukaryotic small subunit ribosomal RNA", at positions 93 to 1299 of the family's 1831-position model. Lineage: Eukaryota; Metazoa; Nematoda. The record is from RNAcentral.
ACGGCUCAUUAUAACAGCUAUAAUUUACUUGAUCUUGACACUAUCCUACUUGGAUAACUGUGGUAAUUCUAGAGCUAAUACAUGCAUUAAAGCUCUGACCUCACGGGAAGAGUGCAUUUAUUAGGACAAAACCAAGCGGCUUCGGCUGUUUCUGGUUGACUCAUAGUAACUGAGCUGAUCGCAUGGUCUUGUACCGGCGACGUGUCUUUCAAGUAUCUGCCGUAUCAACUUUCGAUGGUAGUGUAUCUGACUACCAUGGUGAUCACGCGUAACGGAGAAUAAGGGUUCGGCUCCGGAGAGUUCGCCUGAGAAAUCGCGAACACAUCUAAGGAAGGCAGCAGGCGCGAAAAUUACCCACUCUCAGCACGAGGAGGUAGUGACGAAAAAUAACGAGACCGUUCUCUUCUGAGGCCGGUCAUCGGAAUGGGUACAAUUUAAACCCUUUAACGAGUAUCUAUGAGAGGGCAAGUCUGGUGCCAGCAGCCGCGGUAAUUCCAGCUCUCAAAGUGCAUAGAAUUAUUGCUGCGGUUAAAAAGCUCGUAGUUGGAUCUGUGCCAUAGGACGUGGUCCACCUUUUUGGUGCGCACUACGCUCCUAGGCUUUUUGCUGGUUUUCCCGUCGUAGCCUUCACUGGUUGCGGCGGGUGGCUGGCGAGUUUACUUUGAGAAAAUCAGAGUGCUCAAUACAGGCGUAUCGCUUGAAUGAUUGUGCAUGGAAUAAUAGAAAAGGAUUUCGGUCCUCUUUUAUUGGUUUUGUGGACUGAGAUAAUGGUUAACAGGGACAAACGGGGGCAUUCGUAUCGCUGCGUGAGAGGUGAAAUUCUUGGACCGUAGCGAGACGCCCUACUGCGAAAGCAUUUGCCAAGAAUGUCUUCAUUAAUCAAGAACGAAAGUCAGAGGUUCGAAGGCGAUCAGAUACCGCCCUAGUUCUGACCGUAAACGAUGCCAACUAGCGAUCCGCCGGUGGAUUUUUAGCCCUGGUGGGUAGCUUCCCGGAAACGAAAGUCUUCCGGUUCCGGGGGAAGUAUGGUUGCAAAGCUGAAACUUAAAGGAAUUGACGGAAGGGCACCACCAGGAGUGGAGCCUGCGGCUUAAUUUGACUCAACACGGGGAAACUCACCCGGCCCGGACACCGUAAGGAUUGACAGAUUGAUAGCUCUUUCAUGAUUCGGUGGUUGGUGGUGCAUGGCCGUUCUUAGUU